This 488-nucleotide ribosomal RNA is filed under the name uncultured bacterium. RNAcentral's name for it is "partial 16S ribosomal RNA". It matches the Rfam family "Bacterial small subunit ribosomal RNA", at positions 28 to 507 of the family's 1533-position model. The record is from RNAcentral.
GACGAACGCUGGCGGCGUGCUUAACACAUGCAAGUCGAACGCGCCUGUCCUCUGGGUUUCUGGGGGGUGGGUGAGUGGCGAACGGGUGAGUAACACGUGAGUAACCUGCCCCCUUCUUCGGGAUAACGGUCUGAAAGGGCUGCUAAUACCGGGUAUUCACUGGUCUCCGCAUGGGGUCUGGUGGAAAGGUUUUUUUCUGGUGGGGGAUGGGCUCGCGGCCUAUCAGCUUGUUGGUGGGGUGAUGGCGCACUAAGGGUUUGACGGGUAGCCGGACUGAGAGGGUGCCUGGUCACGUGGCGAGUGAGAUAGGGCCUAGACUACGACGGGAGGCCGUAGGGGGGGAUAUUGCGCAAUGGGCGGAAGCAUGAUGCGGCGACGCCGCGUGAGGGAUGGAGGCCUUGGGGUUGUGAAUCUCUUUGGACCGUGGUUAAGCCGCGACGUGGGUCGUGGUGAGGGUAGUGGGUAAAGAAGCGCCGGCUAACUACGUG